AAAAGUGGAUUAGCGGCGGACGGGUGAGUAACACGUGAGUAACCUGCCUUAGACAUUGGGAUAGCCUCGGGGAACCGGGAUUAAUACCAAAUAAAAUCAUAAUGACACAUGUCAUAACGAUCAAAACUCCGGUGGUCUAAGAUGGACUCGCGUCCCAUUAGCUAGUUGGUAGAGUAAAAGCCUACCAAGGCGACGAUGGGUAGCCGGCCUGAGAGGGUGAACGGCCACAUUGGAACUGAGAAACGGUCCAA
RNAcentral lists this ribosomal RNA (251 nucleotides) under uncultured Eubacteriales bacterium. RNAcentral's name for it is "uncultured Clostridiales bacterium partial 16S ribosomal RNA". It matches the Rfam family "Bacterial small subunit ribosomal RNA", at positions 83 to 334 of the family's 1533-position model. The record is from RNAcentral. Lineage: Bacteria; Bacillati; Bacillota; Clostridia; Eubacteriales.